This 465-nucleotide ribosomal RNA is filed under the name Vreelandella stevensii. RNAcentral describes it as "partial 16S ribosomal RNA". It matches the Rfam family "Bacterial small subunit ribosomal RNA", at positions 338 to 795 of the family's 1533-position model. Lineage: Bacteria; Pseudomonadati; Pseudomonadota; Gammaproteobacteria; Oceanospirillales; Halomonadaceae. The record is from RNAcentral.
CCUACGGGUGGCUGCAGUGGGGAAUAUUGGACAAUGGGGGCAACCCUGAUCCAGCCAUGCCGCGUGUGUGAAGAAGGCCCUCGGGUUGUAAAGCACUUUCAGUGAGGAAGAACGCCUGGUGGUUAAUACCCAUCAGGAAAGACAUCACUCACAGAAGAAGCACCGGCUAACUCCGUGCCAGCAGCCGCAGUAAUACGGAGGGUGCGAGCGUUAAUCGGAAUUACUGGGCGUAAAGCGCGCGUAGGUGGCUUGAUAAGCCGGUUGUGAAAGCCCCGGGCUCAACCUGGGAACGGCAUCCGGAACUGUCAAGCUAGAGUGCAGGAGAGGAAGGUAGAAUUCCCGGUGUAGCGGUGAAAUGCGUAGAGAUCGGGAGGAAUACCAGUGGCGAAGGCGGCCUUCUGGACUGACACUGACACUGAGGUGCGAAAGCGUGGGUAGCAAACAGGAUUAGAUACCCCGGUAGUC